CAAAAGACGAAGAAUGGGAAGAGUAAGGCGCCGGAAGUCUUGCAGAGAGCGGGGAAAGCUGAGAACCCGCAGACCGGAACGCGCCCGAACAUCGCCCAGGAGCCGCAGGGUUGAAAAGAUAGAGUAGGCCUUGCCGGGGUCCGGCCGUUAUUCCGGGCAUAAGAAACAAUAUGGGUGGUACCGCGGUCCGCUUCUCGCCCCAUGC
This 205-nucleotide non-coding RNA is filed under the name Clostridiales bacterium. Its description in RNAcentral is "T-box". It matches the Rfam family "T-box leader". Rfam says of the family: Uncharged tRNA acts as the effector for transcription antitermination of genes in the T-box leader family. The record is from RNAcentral. Lineage: Bacteria; Bacillati; Bacillota; Clostridia; Eubacteriales.